UUGGAUACACGCUACCAUUGGGAAGUCAGUAGUGCAUAAUUUCAAAACAAAAAUUAAUGGGCUUGGAUUAUGUCACAUGACAAACUUUAUUGUUUAUCCAAAUAAGGAGAAGUUCAACACGACAAAACAUAGUUGAGGCUGAAUUUUACUCUACCAAUAACAGUGGCUGAAACAACAGAUCAACUUUUCCCAAUGAUAAUCUUUGAUCUGCGACCAUACGAUCAAUUGAUAGGAAAGGUUGAUGUGAACGAGACUGAAUUAUUCGGUAAAAAUAAUUUCCGCUUGAAUUUCUAACUAUCAUCUUUUCUGCUAUUUAUUUUAAUAUCUAAUAAUUCUUCAGAUGUGAUCGGAGAAAUCGUCAGUUUUGGUGAGGUACAAAUGCUCAAACGAGAUGGAGUUUCAAGAAAGUUUAUGAAUCUCGAACUAGAAGAUGAUGAGGGGGAACAAUUUCUGCAAUUGUGGAAAGUACAUAUCCAGAUUUUUUGAGCCACUGCAGUGACAUAACAUACCUACAAUAAAGAGGAAUUCUUGCUCCUACUCUUGACAUGGUUGAAUCAAUCAAUGAACACAUGGUUUGAUUAAACCAUAGUCAAGCAAAAACAUAUUUGAGUUCUGAUACAAUCUGCAUGUCGGACGAUGCUUUUACAGGUUUGGAACACGUACAUACACCUGAAUUCCUAAACACUAUUAAGUGCUCUGUAAUUCCAAAUCAUGCGAUCACUUUGAAAGUGGGUGUCCUGGUGAUGUUAUUGAGAAAUACAGACCAAGCUUCCGGGCUAUGUAAUGGAACAAGAAUAGUCAUCACUAGACUUGGAAAUAGGUUAUCGAAGCAAAAGGUUUAUCCGAAAAUAUGGCUGGAUAAAAGGUGUUCAUUCCGAGAAUGUUGCUGACUCCAUCUGAUGCAAGAAUACCUUUUAAGUUCCAGCGAAGGAAAUUUCCAAUUAGUUGUAUCUUUUGCCAUGACUAUUAAUAAAAGUCAAGGGCAAUCAUUAUCUCAUGUUGGGUUAUAUUUGAAGAAAUCAGUGUUCACACAUGGGCAACUUUAUGUUGCCCUAUCCCGCGUGACAACAAGAAGGGGAUUAAAGAUUCCGAUGUAUGAUGAUGAUGGAGAAAUUUCAAAUGAAGCAACAAAUGUAGUGUACAAAAAAGUUUUCAGCAAUUUACUUGGAGAAUGAAAGAAAAUCUGAUCUGAAGUUUCAGCACGACUGCUACUGAUGCUCCCGUCUUUAUUGAACCAUCUUGGAAAUAAGCUUUAGAAGCAAUAGUUGAAAACUUUAAUUGAGUUCAGGCAAAGGAUGUUGAGGUUUACAAGAAAAAAUUGCUCUGUUGAUGGAGGUGGAAUAAGAGAAAACAAAGGACUUUCUGGAGCAAGGUGUGGAUCGGCAAAAGCAGUGGUCUGUAGGAUUAUGACAAGUUAAAGAAGCAGAAGUGGCAUCUAUUCGCUCAAUUCUUCUCGCCCAUCCUUCUGAAGGUUAUUCUAAAAAUCAAAGUAGAAGUUCAAAUUUUUACCUGAAUUAAGGCCCUUAUAAAGAGGACUAACGAGAUUAGACAUCAGCUGGAGUGAAAUGCUUUACUUUGAUUCUGUUUGUGUCCCUCUUUGUAAGGUUCUAAUCUGAUCGUUGAAGACUUAUUCGAAGGGCAUCCCAUCAGUCAAGGAAAGCUAAAAAGAACUUCUUAGUCAUACCCCAUCGCAGGUUUUUACUGGGGCUUUGUUGGGUAUUGUGGUUGCUUGGAUGUAUUGUCAGGGUUGUUUAAUUGCAAUAUGAUCAGCUUACAUAGGUAAACUUUCCAAUAACUAGGAGUCAUUCAUUAUAACUGUACAAGAAGCACCAUCUUUUUGUAUGAACGAUUGAUGCUUAUGUUCAUUCCCAAGUAAAAGGCAAAAAAAAA
Long non-coding RNA from Lycium barbarum (goji berry), 1890 nucleotides. RefSeq lists it as uncharacterized. The transcript is spliced from 6 exons. The record is from RefSeq and is a predicted model, not a curated record. NCBI's taxonomy places the organism in Eukaryota, Viridiplantae, Streptophyta, Magnoliopsida, Solanales, Solanaceae.